UAAAUCCUCAAAUUCAAGCUUGGAGUCGAAGACUUCAUCAUACUGUGUCCAGCCUGCUUGUAUUGAGCCAUCUUGUGUCAUCCAGCCUGCAUGUUUUUCACCGCGUUUCCUAAGGCCCAAGAAAGGAAAGAAGACGAAACAGAAAUCUGAGAUGCACAAUCAAGUGAGCCCGCUUCCAGAGCUCAUGGCUGAACCGACAAAUGCUCGAUCCAUGUCUUUUGUGGGAACACAUGAGUACCUUGCUCCAGAAAUUAUUA
Molecule: unclassified non-coding RNA, 257 nt
Filed under: Hevea brasiliensis (rubber tree)
Lineage: Eukaryota; Viridiplantae; Streptophyta; Magnoliopsida; Malpighiales; Euphorbiaceae
Source: RNAcentral